CGACCGGCGCACGGGUGAGUAACACGUAUGAAACCUGCCCGUAGCAGGGGGAUAAGCGGAAGAAAUUCCGUCUAAUACCGCGUAACAACCCAUGGAGGCAUCUCUGUGGGUUUAAAGGAAGCGAUUCCGGCUACGGAUGGUCAUGCGUCGCAUUAGCUUGUUGGCGGGGUAACGGCCCACCAAGGCGACGAUGCGUAGGAGUUCUGAGAGGAAGGUCCCCCACACUGGUACUGAGACACGGACCAGACUCCUACGGGAGGCAGCAG
RNAcentral lists this ribosomal RNA (266 nucleotides) under uncultured bacterium. RNAcentral's name for it is "partial 16S ribosomal RNA". It matches the Rfam family "Bacterial small subunit ribosomal RNA", at positions 92 to 354 of the family's 1533-position model. The record is from RNAcentral.